GCCCGCCGCUGCCGCCGCCUCGCCCGCUCCCCGCCCCCGCUGACGCUGCCUCCUCGGGAAGGGUGUUUGGAGGGCAGCGGCCGCCCCAAGCCGGAGCCCCGCGCGAGCGCCUCUUAUGAUCAGCUCGGUGUGCGUCUCCUCCUACCGCGGGCGCAAGUCGGGGAACAAGCCUCCGUCCAAAACAUGUCUGAAGGAGGAGAUGGCCAAGGGCGAGGCGUCGGAGAAGAUCAUCAUCAACGUGGGCGGCACGCGACAUGAGACCUACCGCAGCACCCUGCGCACCCUCCCGGGCACCCGCCUCGCCUGGCUGGCCGAUCCCCAUCCCGACCCCCACCCCCACCCCCACCCCCAUCCCGACGGCGACGGCGGCGGCGGGGCGCGGCCCGGGCCCGAUGGCGGCGGCGGCGGGGGCCGCGAGUUCUUCUUCGACCGGCACCCGGGCGUGUUCGCCUACGUGCUCAACUACUACCGCACCGGCAAGCUGCACUGCCCGGCCGACGUGUGCGGGCCGCUCUUCGAGGAGGAGCUCACCUUCUGGGGCAUCGACGAGACGGACGUGGAGCCCUGCUGCUGGAUGACCUACCGGCAGCACCGCGACGCCGAGGAGGCGCUCGACAUCUUCGAGAGCCCGGACGGGGGCGGCGGGGCGGCGGGGCCCGGCGAGGAGGCGGGCGAGGACGAGCGCGAGCUGGCCCUGCAGCGCCGGGGGCCGCACGACGGGGGCGCGGGCGCCGGGCCCGGGGGCUGCCGUGGCUGGCAGCCCCGCAUGUGGGCGCUCUUCGAGGACCCCUACUCCUCCCGGGCGGCCAGGGUGGUGGCCUUCGCCUCUCUCUUCUUCAUCCUGGUCUCCAUCACCACCUUCUGCCUGGAGACCCAUGAGGCCUUCAACAUUGACCGCAACGUGACAGAGAUCCACCGGGUGGGGAACACCACCAGCGUGCACUUCCGGCGGGAGGUGGAGACAGAGCCCAUCCUGACCUACAUCGAGGGUGUGUGUGUGCUGUGGUUUACGCUGGAGUUCCUGGUGCGCAUCGUGUGCUGCCCCGACACGCUGGACUUCGUCAAGAACCUUCUCAACAUCAUUGACUUUGUGGCCAUCCUGCCCUUCUACCUGGAGGUGGGACUGAGCGGCCUGUCGUCCAAGGCGGCCCGAGACGUGCUGGGCUUCCUGCGCGUGGUGCGCUUCGUCCGAAUCCUGCGCAUCUUCAAGCUCACGCGCCACUUUGUGGGGCUGCGCGUGCUGGGCCACACCCUGCGUGCCAGCACCAACGAGUUCCUGCUGCUCAUCAUCUUCCUGGCCCUGGGCGUGCUCAUCUUCGCCACCAUGAUCUACUAUGCUGAGCGCAUUGGCGCCAGGCCCUCUGACCCGCGGGGCAAUGACCACACUGACUUCAAGAACAUCCCCAUCGGCUUCUGGUGGGCCGUGGUCACCAUGACGACCCUAGGCUAUGGGGAUAUGUAUCCCAAGACGUGGUCAGGCAUGCUGGUUGGGGCGCUGUGUGCACUGGCUGGCGUGCUCACCAUUGCUAUGCCCGUGCCGGUCAUUGUCAACAACUUCGGCAUGUACUACUCCCUGGCCAUGGCCAAGCAGAAGCUGCCUAAGAAAAGAAAGAAGCAUGUGCCACGGCCGCCCCAGCUUGAGUCACCCAUUUACUGCAAGUCGGAGGACACCUCACCCCGGGACAGCACCUACAGUGACGCCAGCCCCCCUGCCCCAGAAGAGGGUAUGGUUGAGAGGAAACGGGCAGACUCCAAGCAGAAUGGCGAUGCCAACGCGGUGCUGUCAGACGAGGAGGGAGCUGGCCUCACCCAGCCCCUGGCCUCUGCCCCCACCCCUGAGGAGCGCCGGGCCCUGCGACGCUCUGGCCCCCGAGACAAAAACAAGAAGGCAGCGGCCUGCUUCCUGCUCAGCGCCGGGGACUAUACCUGUGCCGAUGGUAGUGUCCGGAAAGGUGACCACUAAGGAACCUUUCUAAAUUAAGCAGGACAACAGCCAGCAGCCUGGGAUGUCACAUCCUUCCCGGGCCGGAGACAUCAACUCCAGAUUACCCGAACUUCCUCAGGCUGGAGGGCACCGUUUCGGUAUCUGCUGCAUCAUCUAGCCCAGUGCCAACCACAAAGUCGGUGUGGAAUAAAUCCACACGUUUACACUGCAAGGUUACGAGUAGGAUAAGCUUGGAACAGGGAAGCUCACUGCACAGCAGAGAAGACAUCCAGGAAUACGCGUGGCCCCUCCUGACCUGCACUCUGCGGUUUUGCAUUCAGUGCCCCGUUCCCGUGGCCCUUGAGCCCAGAUUGCUUAAGAGAGCUAACAGCAGCCGGCCAGAGUCCGCGCAGAUGCGUUUUGACGUGCUUGGCCUGGCUGGAGGGCCCUAGACCGAACCCGAUGUAUUUUUAGCUCCUUGGGUAUCUGGAAAAGUAUUGAGAUGCAGUUGUGGUCACAGACACCGGGCAAAUCAGUAUUCUGCCGCUGGCCUCCCCACACCAGCAGUUUCCGUUCAGUGUCUCCAAAGCAAGGGUUGCCAUGGAGAUGGAGUGCCAGGGCAACUGAACUUCCUGUCGGGAGAGGGAGACAGCGGCACAGGUGGAGCUCCGGGCCGUGGGAGCCCAGGAGCUCCUUGGAUGGCCACGGCACGUCUCCUGAAGGCAGACGAUGGCAGGAGUCCCCGGCGUCCCGGGAAGGAGGUGGCGGGGACUGCUUUGGUUCUCCCUCUGUCCCCUUGCCCAGGGACCGCGGCCAUCUAAGGAAGCAGCCUGGAAGCUGGUUGGGGAGGAAGGUGGCAGCGCCGUCCUGAGUACAGGUCGGUCCUGGUGCAUACCCGGACCCCAAGCUCCGUGAGCGGCGGGCGGAGGCCAGGUCCGCCCACCCUGGGGGCAUUGGAGUUACGGUCAUAACCCACUCUUGGGAUGGCGCUGCGCAGGCUUUUGUCCUUGCUGUUGUCUGCGAGGCUGCCCAGACAGGUGGCCUGGUCCCCACCUUCCCCGUUUACUCACUAAACGUUUCCGGCGGGCCUGAGAAGUUAGGCGGCGGAGCUGCCAGGGGCUCCACGAGGCUAAAGGCCCCGCCUACCGCGGCCGAAUCAGCAAGGUGUGAGGCCCGAGAGCAGCAGGUCUGUCGGUCCGUAGAUCGGAGGGCCCAGAGCCCGAGGAAGCUCUGAAGAGCACAGCCUGAGCCUCACAUCUCAGACAAAACAGAUUGAGGCCCAGAGAGAGCAGGAGCCAGGCCACUCGGGGAGUUGGUGACAAAACAGGACCAGGAUUCUUCUGCCCACACUUCUCACCACCCAGGGCUCCUUCCAGAGAAAUGUGCCGCCCUGAACUUUUACUGGCUGCUCACUCCAUGUCGGGGACUGGAUCAGCUACGAAUUCCUUUUAGUUGUUGUUGACAGAGACCUGAGCACAGCGACUUAAGCGAACGAGGAGCUCAUUCUCUCAUAAAAGAUGCCCGGGCCAAGCAUUACAGGGCUGUUGACAGUUGGGCAAAGUCGUCAGCGGUGCCGGUUCCCUGGUUUUCUGAGUCCCUGCCUUCAGCACAGAGGCUUGAUUCUAACUGCCCAGGAUGGCUGCUGGGGUUCCGGCCAUCACAGCUCCAUUCCAGGCAGAAAAGGAGGAAGAGAACAGAACAAAAGGGCCUGUGUGCCUUCUCUGCCUGCCCCUGCCCCGCCUCCUUCGGGGUCUUCCUGAAAGCCCAUCUAGGGUCCAUGUAGAGCCCAUUGGCACUGCUAAUUGCAAGAAAUAUUGAGAAAUGUCAUCUUUCGCCUGGGCACACUGCUACCCUAAAUACAAUUGGGAUUGCGGUGGGAAUGAAGAGCAGGAGAAUGAUACUUCUAAAUGUUCUGCAGUGUGUAUAUAUUUAUUAGAAAAUGAGGGGGCAAACUCCAAAAACUACCCAUCCGACCACCUGUUCAUCCACACAGGUGUGGUUGCCUUGCUCAGGGUCCUCUGCGAUAGGCUACUUCCAUGAGGUGGCACAAAGAUUCUUAAGGCAGGGUUUAAACAAACUUAAGAUCACUGCAGUUCAGUUUGAACAAAAUCCCCAGACCCUGUGGAUUCACCCUUGGAAGAGGCUUGGAGUGGGAGUGGCAAAUCCACCAGGAGCUGUAGAGAUCACGGCCUCACACAGACUCAGCCGCCAGCCCCGGGCCUGCCCGCCGCCAGCCCCCAGCCCAGCCCACCUGGGAAGGCCUCCACUUGCCUGAAUCCCGCGCCCUCCGGGGCUGCCGGGCCACCCGCCCACUGGAGUCACGCUGAGCCACCGGCUGGGCGCUGGGUUCGCCAGGAAGCCUCGGCCUUUGUGCAGCCUCAGCUCACACCCGGCUCUGGUUACCUAUGAAUGGGAGCCGCUCUCCUCAGAGGGCCAUUCUCUUCAGGUAGCUGGUCUCCUCAGAUGGCCGUUUUCCUCAGGUUGCCGUUCUCCUCAGGUGGCCGUUCUCCUCAGGCGGCCGUUCUCCUCAGGCAGCCGGUCUCCUCAGGUAGCCGUUCUCCUCAGGUGGCUGUUCUCCUCAGGUAGCCGGUCUCCUCAGGUAGCCAUUCUCCUCAGGUGGCCGUUCACUUCAGGUAGCUGGUCUCCUCAGGUAGCUGUUCUCAUCAGGUAGCCGGUCUCCUCAGGUAGCUGGUCUCCUCAGGUGGCCAUUCUCCGCAGGUGGCUAUUCUCUUCAGGUAGCUGGUCUCCUCAGGUGGCCGUUCUCCUCAGGUGGCCAUUCUCUUCAGGUAGCCGGUCUCCUCAGGUGGCCAUUCUCCGCAGGUGGCCAUUCUCUUCAGGUAGCUGGUCUCCUCAGGUGGCCGUUCUCCUCAGGCAGCCGAUCUCCUCAGGUGGCCGUUCUCCUCAGGCGGCCGUUCUCCUCAGGCAGCCGAUCUCCUCAGGUGGCCGUUCUCCUCAGGCGGCCGUUCUCCUCAGGCAGCCGGUCUCCUCAGGUAGCCGUUCUCCUCAGGUGGCUGUUCUCCUCAGGUAGCCGGUCUCCUCAGGUAGCCGUUCUCCUCAGGUGGCCGUUCACUUCAGGUAGCUGGUCUCCUCAGGUAGCUGUUCUCUUCAGGUAGCCGGUCUCCUCAGGUGGCUAUUCUCCUCAGGUGGCCAUUCUCCGCAGGUGGCCAUUCUCUUCAGGUAGCUGGUCUCCUCAGGUGGCCGUUCUCCUCAGGUGGCCAUUCUCUUCAGGUGGCUGUUCACUUCAGGUAGCCGGUCUCCUCAGGUGGCUGUUCUCCUCAGGUGGCCAUUCUCCGCAGGUGGCCAUUCUCUUCAGGUAGCUGGUCUCCUCAGGUGGCCAUUCUCCUCAGGUGGCCAUUCUCCUCAGGUGGCUGUUCACUUCAGGUAGCCGGUCUCUUCAGAUAGCCGGUCUCUUCAGGUGGCUGUUCUCCUCAGGUGACCGUUCUCCUCAGGUGGCCAUUCUCCUCAGGUGGCUGUUCUCCGUAGGUGGCCGUCUCCUCAGGUGGCCAUUUUCUUCAGGUGGCCGGUCUCUUCAGGUGGCUGUUCUCUUCAGGUAGCUGGUCGCCUCGGGUGGCCAUUCUCUUCAGGUAGCUGGUCUCCUCAGGUAGCCAGUCUCUUCAGGUGGCCGUUCUCUUCAGGUAGCUGGUCUCCUCAGAUGGCCGUUCUCUUCGGGUAACUGGUCUCCUCAGGUGGCUGUUCUCCUCAUGUAGCUGUUCUCUUCAGGUAGCCAGUCUCCUCCGGUAGCUGGUCUCCUCAUGUGGCCGUUCUCUUCAGGUGGCCGUUCUCCUCAGGUGGCCGUUCUCCUAUGGUGGCCAUUCUCUUCAGGUAGCUGGUCUCCUCAGGUGGCCGUUUCUCUUCAGGUAGCCGGUCUCUUCAGGUGGCUGUUCUCUUCAGGUAGCUGGUCUCCUCAGAUGGCCAUUCUCUUCAGGUAGCUGGUGUUCUCAGGUGGCCAUUCUCCUCAGGUGGCUGUUCUCUUCAGGUAGGCGGUCUCCUCAGGUAGCUGGUCUCCUCAGGUGGCCGUUCUUCUCAGGUGGCCGUUCUCCUCAGGUAGCUGGUCUCCUCAGGUGGCCAUUCUCCUCAGGUGGCUGUUCUCUUCAGGUAGGCGGUCUCCUCAGGUAGCUGGUCUCCUCAGGUGGCCGUUCUCUUCAGGGGGCCAUUCUCUUCAGGUAGCUGGUCUCCUUAGGUGGCCGUUCUCCUCAGGUGGCCCGUUCUCUUCAGGUAGCUGGUCUCCUCAGGUGGCCGUUCUCUUCAGGUAGCCGGUCUCUUCAGGUGGCUGUUCUCUUCGGGUAGCUCAGGUGGCCGUAAGACAGGUCAGGACUCAGAGGAUACCCAUAGGAAAGUGAAGCCUGUGCCUGGAGGCCUGACUGCCGGCGCCCCGUUGGAACACCUCAAGAGGGGGCAGGCCAAAGGGGCUCCGCAGGGACCUGCCGCUCCACUCAGCGUGGUGCUUCUCCAUGAUAUUUGUACAUAACACAUUGUCCCAGGCACGAUGAAAGGUUUUUGAGAGGGGGACAGUGAGAAAGCAAGAAUCAGUCUAUUCAACAUGAAACUGGGUGGCUGACUGAUGACAGUGCCCAGACGCUCCUAGUGUAUGCAGCACCCGCUCACCCCUUAAUCUUUGCUCACCGAACGCCAGUUUUAUUUGGGAGCAGUAACACGCUCAGUUGCAGUAUCUGGCCUCUCAGGCUUGCUGGCAAACGGCCAGAGGGCUGGACAAUAAAGCAGAGGAAAACAUCUCUGGGAAGGCUGUCCAUCCCUUAUUGAAAGGCAAAGGCCCCAUGGAGAAGACUGGCCUCACCCUCCCCUUCUUCCUGCCUGGAGUGAGCAGGAGAUGCUUGGGAGUGAAGGGGGCCAUCCUGCAACCCUGGUUGGAAGAGCCCUAUGCUACGAUAGCGGAGCUGGAAGCUAGAAGGAUCUAGGCUUAGGGUUCUCCUGACAACAUCCCUGUACUACCUACUUCCUGACUUCUUGUUACAUGGCAAAAAUUGAAGCCCCAUUUGGGUGAGCCAGUGUGGAUUUCUUUUAAGAGAAGCCAAAAGCGAUCCUGACUGAUGCCCAAGGAUUGCCAAAGGGCUGUGCCUUUUUGUGUGAUUGCAGAUUUGCCAACCCAUCUGUAGUUCCUGUCCUGGUUCUGUCCCCAGGCCCACUUCACUUCUUCACCGGGCCAGCUUGGAGCAGACCACCCUAUGUAUCAGGGAAAGAAACUGGCUGGAUUCUCCCAGCAGAAUUUCCAGCAGGCCUGGGCUUGCAUCUCAAUUGUUCAUCUUUAUAUAUCACUCUGGGGGAAGGUGAAGAAUUAAGUCCCAUGGACUGCUUUUAUUCCUCCCGAGAGAGAAUAUGGCAUCCAGGAAAAUACUUCUUGGCUGAGAAGUUUCUGAGAAUUAAAAACUUGGUACUCCCAAACUCAGGAAGAGAAUCUUCUCUCUUCUCAUCUCAAACCAUUGAGGCCAUAGGACUGCUUCCUACUCCCUGCCCCAUAGAUUGCAGGUCUCAAUCCUUUGAGAGCCAUAAGAUCUUAAGGCUUUGUAAGGAGGAAAUCAUGACUGUAUCAUCUGUCAGAUUUUUCUCAGUUCCCCCAAAUCUUUUUGGGUGCUUGCUAUGUGUCUAAAUAGUCUUCACAAAAUGAACAAAUGGCUUUGAAAGAUUCUUGCAAAGAAAACUGGAUUGGAGAUCCUAUUAAUAAUGCAAACAUGAGAAACAGUAAAAAAAAAAAAAAAAAAAAAAAAAAUCUGGAAUGAUCUUUCUCCUCCUGAAUAAGGGCCUUUAGUAGCUGGCAAAAGCAAUGACAGUCUCACUGGAUCUAAAAAGAUGUUGACCAAAAAAAGCCAGCAUUUUCAAGAUAAUUCUAAAAUAUGGUUAACAGUUAUUAUUGUUAAUGAAGGUUAUUGCCCUAACAGUUUUUGCCUUGUGAUAUUAGCUAUUGAUAGUAAAAGCUUGCCAAUUAGUAAGAUAGUUAAAAAUUAGGAAUCCAGGGGCACCUGGGUGGCUCAGCGGUUUAGUGCCUGCCUUCAGCCCAGGGCCUGAUCCUGGAGACCCUGGGAUCAAGUCCCACGUUGGGCUCCCUGUAUGGAGCCUGCUUCUCCUUCUGCCUGUGUCUCUGCCUCUCUCUCUCUCUCUCUCUCUGUCUCUUAUGAAUAAAUAAAUAAAAUCCUAAAAAAGCAAUCAGGCACUCCCACAAUGAAUAUAAACUUCUUCAAUUAUUUCAUUGAUGCUUAAACUUAUUAACCAUACUUACCCCAGUAUUUAACAAAAUUUCAUUAAAUGUAGUAAGUGUA
Canis lupus familiaris (dog) is the source of this 8196-nucleotide RNA transcript. It is a transcript of the gene named potassium voltage-gated channel subfamily C member 4, with no coding region annotated. NCBI's taxonomy places the organism in Eukaryota, Metazoa, Chordata, Mammalia, Carnivora, Canidae. The record is from RefSeq and is a predicted model, not a curated record. The transcript is spliced from 8 exons.